UAGGGAAUCUUCGGCAAUNAAACGGAAGUCUGACCGAGCAACGCCGCGUGAGUGAAGAAGGUUUUCGGAUCGUAAAGCUCUGUUGUAAGAGAAGAACGAGUGUGAGAGUGGAAAGUUCACACUGUGACGGUAUCUUACCAGAAAGGGACGGCUAACUACGUGCCAGCAGCCGCGGUAAUACGUAGGUCCCGAGCGUUGUCCGGAUUUAUUGGGCGUAAAGCGAGCGCAGGCGGUUAGAUAAGUCUGAAGUUAAAGGCUGUGGCUUAACCAUAGUACGCUUUGGAAACUGUUUAACUUGAGUGCAAGAGGGGAGAGUGGAAUUCCAUGUGUAGCGGUGAAAUGCGUAGAUAUAUGGAGGAACACCGGUGGCGAAAGCGGCUCUCUGGCUUGUAACUGACGCUGAGGCUCGAAAGCGUGGGGAGCAAACAGGAUUAGAUACCCUGGUAGUCCACGCCGUANCGAUGAGUGCUAGGUGUUAGACCCUUUCCGGGGUUUAGUGCCGCAGCUAACGCAUUAAGCACUCCGCCUGGGGAGUACGACCGCAAGGUUG
RNAcentral lists this ribosomal RNA (550 nucleotides) under uncultured bacterium. Its description in RNAcentral is "bacterial SSU rRNA". It matches the Rfam family "Bacterial small subunit ribosomal RNA", at positions 355 to 896 of the family's 1533-position model. The record is from RNAcentral.